UGCCUCUCCUAGGGCCAUUUAAGAGCUGACUGCUACUGAAGAAGGAUCUCCUCCUACAGGUCACUUCUUGUGGAGGACAUUGUAAGCCUACAGCAUUGAAUAACCAACUGCCACUGAAAUACCAACUUCUUUACUUCAGUGGCAUCCAGGAAAGCGUUCAGAAGUGUGAGACAAAACGUAGAGAGUCUGCAGACUAAAGGCAAGCAACAAGCAGUGGAUGGACCAAAGAUAGUUCCCUCUGGACAUAGCAUACAGCAACUAAGAUUCAUGUUCAAAGGGUUCCAUGUUACAGUUUCAAACAACAGCUUACCUGCUGUGGAAAAAAAUACUGCAGAGACAUGCUUUAUGUGGACUUCGGGAACUGAAUUUUGCAAGAAUAAUAGCUGAAACUGGCCUUCAGACCUACUAGCUGUAGUACUGGAAGAAGAUUGUGACCUUGAGUCAAGUCAAUGGAUGGUAAAUACAUUGUGCUUAAAAAAAACUGCUGGAGAACAUCAAGGAGAGAAGAAAACUGACCCAGUGCCUAAAUCUCUAGUCCUGGUCUCUCUUGAACAGUAGCUCAUUAUACCUACCUGAAAAGUGAGCACCAGGAUUUAUUCUUACUAAAGUGUGUCCUAAUUUUUAAGCUUUUUUUUUUUUUUUUUUGUGAUGCCAGUUUCUGUCUUUUUUUCUGAUCAUGCUGUAAAACCUCCAACUCACUCCUCCCACCUUCAUAUCUCCAACCAUUUAAUUAACAUUUUCCCUUUCCAUCCUUCUGCAGAUAAUAAGCACAAGCUGUGAAAUAUCCCCCUUGAUUAUCAGAGCGGACUAGCAGUUUCCAGCCUGUUUUACACCUCAGCCUAUUGUUGUAUUCAGAAACUUAUUUUCAAAGCUUGCUUGUGAGAGCACUCUAUAAAGUAGUGUUAAAGCCUUGUUCCAGGUACAGACAGGGUAUCUUCUGCUUCUCUCUCAUUUACAAAGCUGCAGGAAGAAAUGUGAAAGGUCUGACAUUAAUUCUUGCUGAGUCCAUGUAGCCACCCCUCAGCUUUUCCUCAGCUCCCAUCGUUCUUCCUCUUGCUCUGGUUCCUGGGCUCUCACCUCUGCAGGCCUUCUGCUCAGGUCCCUUCCUCCAACAGAACUCUUUGCUUUCUAUGGGAUGUUCCCACCACCCUCCUGAUUUACAGCCUUCAUACUUUGAUUUGCAUUUCCUUUUCUGUCCCUUUUUCCAAAUAUUGGAGUGCUUUUCUAUCUGUUCAGCAAACUCAUUUAAAGGCUUUCGUUCUUUGUGUUCCACUGCUCAUGUUCCUUCCUCAGUAUUAUUCUCAUUGCUGUGCCUAUGUUCCCCCUAUGCCUCUACUCCCUCAGACCACCCUAUGACUUUUCCUCUUUUUUUUCUCUUCUUCCAAGACCCCCACUGCCAUUUCUAUCAUUCCUUCUCUUCUUGCUAAUUCAAAUCAACAAACAAAAAAUGCCUUUCACCUCAACUGCAUGAGAUUAUCCUCUGCCACUGAAAGCUGACAGAUAGAAACUGUUUAAAUAUCUUUGUGGCUUUUGAAAGUGAAAAGGAAAAGAUUAAGCUGCAUUUACUGCUUUAAUUUGGAACUCAUGAGCACUACCAUAAUGCAGGAUUAGGUUCACACAGUUAUUUUUUAAAGUGCAUAACAAUGUUCCUAUUUGCUCAUCUAACAGAUCAUAGCAAUGCAGUCAUAACUUUUUACAGAUGACAAUGAUCCUUAGGCAGAAGCCUUCAAAAUAAAGCCUUUCUGAGUUUCCAGCUCUUAUAAAGUAAUUAUGUCUUGUACUACAUUUACAAUGGAAAUGGAUGAAUUCGGUCCAAAGAAACAGAUCUUUUCAAAGGAAAUCAGAGCAAGGGAAAGCGGCUCUGCGAUCUCAGAGUUCACAAAGAAAGCAGCUGAUCCUGCCUACACAGUGGGAAUUUCUUUUAAAAAGAAAAGUCUAAUUACAGCUGGCACUUUGAAGCCAAGUAAUUCUACUUUGCUGAAAAGUGACAUGAUUCUUCUGACAGUGCAAGCAUGGGGCACGGUGUGCAGUAGUCCCCAUUCUCUCACUUCUCAUUCAAAUUAAAUACAAUAUUACAGGAUUUUUUUUUUAAUUUUUAAUGUCAGAAUUUCCUUCUAGAGUGUUGUGCAGGGGAGAGGGCCUGAAGAACAAUCAGGCCAGCCAAACUCAUGGAAAAUGAAGAUCUUGUUUAAUCCUUUCAUAAUGGUAAUAAACUUAGCACUAGUAUUUAUGCUUCAAAAGUAUCAUUUGAAGAAUUUGCAAAUGGUAAUUUUAAAAUCUAACAGACAACAUCAGAAGGUAAAUCCACUUAAAGAAAUCAUAUCCUCUAAAAAUUAAUGUCAUUCUCCCUACUUGCAACAGCACUCACUUUAGUGUUUCCUAUAACACUUCAGUGUCACUCCAAUUGGUGCUGGUGUCAGAAGCAUGACUGAGAAAGCAGGCCAUAGCGGUGUUAUCUGGGAGGAAGGGUCCUUACAGGUGAGAAACAGGUGCAGGUGGCACCUCUGCAGAUCACUGGGGUGGUUAUCAGCUGAGGGCUGUCUGUAUGGCCCCAGCCUUUGGACAGAGAGCUGGAGUACCAGACAAGAAAUAGGCGAGUAACAAAACCUGUAAUGUAUGCAAAGAGCAGACCGAGGGAUGUUACUCUCUAGUUCUGCCUACUUUCUAGCAACCUAGAAUAUGGAGGUAAACCUCCUGGUGCUCCUGAGUUCCCUACUUGGGCUUGGAUUCUCACCAAACACGAGCUUCCAUUUUGCACUGAUUGUUGCUUCUCAGCUGCAAAUGUCCUGAAUGGCAGAAUCAGCCCGUAUCUGCAACCAGGCUGCUUCUGAGCUGUCUGAAAAGCAAUCAGAGGUACAUUGUUUGCAAAAGUCCGAGCUUUAAAAUAUCUUUUUGCUCCUUGACAGUCAGACAAACAGCUGCACAACAUUAACACAAGAGAAUUGCAAAAGUUUAUGUUCUUUCAGGCUGAUAAUAACAAAAAAUCAGUUUCUUCCCUGUCUGCCAGAUUUAUCCAUCAUGAAUGACAAAGUGAAAGAGCAUGAAAAAAAAAGGGAGGGAGAAAGAGAAGGCAAAUUGUCUUCCCUCUGUGUACACAGCUCAACCAAAGCAUUUUGCAAUGUGGCUCACUGCCAAUACUGGAGGUGCUUGCUCCAGGCAGCGUAGCCCCUGCCAUGGAGAUGCGGCAUUUGCAGGAGGCAGUUAUAGAUAUUCACAAGCCCUAUGCUCUAUUUCAAUUCAAAUGUUGUAUAUAAGCCCCUCAGACUGGUCUAUAGAAUGAUCAAUCCUCUCGCUGAAAGGGAACACGUUUAUAGACCAGUUCAGAUGCCACAUCUCCCAUGAGGCAGCAUAAGUUUCCUAGAUCAAACCAAGGAAACGUUUGGAACAACAUUCUCUGCUUUCCAAAAACUGCAUGGCCAGAACCAAGCAGUAAGUCCCAUUUGUGUUUUGGUCAUACCCAGAGAAGAAUGUCUUAAAAGCACUAAGGAAUUACACACUUGAUUAUAAAGUUCUGAAAAGAUCCAAAAAGAUCCUGAGGUUUUGAAUAUUGGGAAUUCAUGCUUUGAAGGCCUCGACCUGUCCAGACUUGGGCAGCACUCAGUGAUAAGGAAGGCAUGUCCAUAGAGAGAGAUGGGAACAAAGGAAUUCUCCUCUGACAGCACAUUUGAACCCAACUCUUACAACACAUAAUCAUGAAUCUUGAGAUUGGAAGAUAGACUGGCUUGUGACCUGUCCUGUGGAAGAAGUGCUUUGUUGUAUGGAAAAAUUAAAUGUGAAUUUACACAAAUGAUAUAGAGGAAAGAAAGAAGAGGAAAAUGAUUUUUCAUCCUCACAGUCCAUCCUAGACCAAUGCUAUCUGGUAUUCAGUCCCUGUUCCAAAGAACAUCCACAUUUUGUUUCAAGAUACGGCUGUUCUGGCUUGUAAUAAAAUGUGAUUUCAAACCCAAGAAGUGUUGGACUGCACAGUGAAUGUGCACUUAAAAUUACUGCAUUUGGGAUGUGAUCAUUUUUAAGGAAGAUAACAUCUGUUUGAAAGCUGAAAAAGAAUUGAGCUCAUGAGUUUGCAGGAACUUAUUAAAUAACAGAAAACAGAUUACACGGAAAUUACAAGCAUUAUGAGAAAUGGAGUCAAAGUUUGCUAACACUUCCACACUACAGAGAGUGCAAAGAAUGUUUGCUAAUACUUGUUGGAUCAAGCUAGUGG
Long non-coding RNA from Tympanuchus pallidicinctus (lesser prairie-chicken), 4204 nucleotides. RefSeq lists it as uncharacterized. Lineage: Eukaryota; Metazoa; Chordata; Aves; Galliformes; Phasianidae. The record is from RefSeq and is a predicted model, not a curated record. The transcript has 3 exons.